RNAcentral lists this ribosomal RNA (423 nucleotides) under uncultured cyanobacterium. Its description in RNAcentral is "bacterial SSU rRNA". It matches the Rfam family "Bacterial small subunit ribosomal RNA", at positions 357 to 795 of the family's 1533-position model. Lineage: Bacteria; Bacillati; Cyanobacteriota. The record is from RNAcentral.
GGGAAUUUUCCGCAAUGGGCGAAAGCCUGACGGAGCAAUGCCGCGUGGAGGAGGAAGGCCUGUGGGUCGUAAACUCCUUUUCUCAGAGAAGAAGUUCUGACGGUAUCUGAGGAAUAAGCAUCGGCUAACUCUGUGCCAGCAGCCGCGGUAAUACAGGGGAUGCAAGCGUUAUCCGGAAUUAUUGGGCGUAAAGCGUCCUGAGGUGGCUUACCAGUCGACUGUGAAAGCUCAAGGCUUAACCUUGAAACGGCAGUCGAAACUUGUAAGCUUGAGUACGGUAGGGGCAGAGGGAAUUCCCGGAGGAGAGGUGAAAUUCGUAGAUAUCGGGAGGAAGGCCAAAGGCGAAAGCACUCUGCUGGGCCGAUUACUGACACUGACAGACGAAAGCUAGGGGAGCGAAAGGGAUUAGAUACCCCUGUAGUC